ACAGUCACACAUUAGAUACCCGUGUAGUCCCAGCCGUAAACUAUGCUCGCUAGGUGUCAGGCAUGGCGCGACCGUGUCUGGUGCCGCAGGGAAGCCGUGAAGCGAGCCACCUGGGAAGUACGGCCGCAAGGCUGAAACUUAAAGGAAUUGGCGGGGGAGCACAACAACGGGUGGAGCCUGCGGUUUAAUUGGACUCAACGCCGGACAACUCACCGGGGACGACAGCAAUAUGUAGGCCAGGCCGAAGACCUUGCCUAAAUCGCUG
RNAcentral lists this ribosomal RNA (265 nucleotides) under uncultured archaeon. RNAcentral describes it as "partial 16S ribosomal RNA". It matches the Rfam family "Archaeal small subunit ribosomal RNA", at positions 719 to 982 of the family's 1478-position model. The record is from RNAcentral.